UCAGGAAUGAUGACGUAGGUGUCACAGCACAGAAACAAACAGGACUUCUGUGUUCCUCCACUGCUGCCUGAAUCUGUAAAUUCCUUUUACAGAGCCUCUGAACAUACUUGACAUGUGAUGAAAUCCCAGUUUUGUUACAUGCUGGCCAUGUGACCCUGGAGGCAGCUCCCUGUUUGGCACAGCCCUCAACACAACUGUGGCAUCUAUUAAAAUCAACACUAGGGAUCCUAUCAUCUAGUGGUAGCUGCAAAUCAUCAAAUUCUUCAAGAAUGCUUGAAAAAAGCCAUUGCUGGCCAUUUGUAAGAGCAACAUGUGCAAACCACAGAAGAUGAGGAAAGAUGUCCAAAUACGGGAUGCAAUUCAAAUCUCUACUCUGAGUGGAUACCAAGAAGAAGCUCUUGGCUCCUGGCUUCAUAUAAGCUCAGCUCCAGCCCUGACAGUCCUUUGGGGAGUGAACUCUGUUU
Ochotona princeps (American pika) is the source of this 464-nucleotide long non-coding RNA. RefSeq lists it as uncharacterized. The transcript has 4 exons. NCBI's taxonomy places the organism in Eukaryota, Metazoa, Chordata, Mammalia, Lagomorpha, Ochotonidae. The record is from RefSeq and is a predicted model, not a curated record.